GCAUAUCAAUAAGCGGAGGAAAAGAAACUAACAAGGAUUCCCCUAGUAACGGCGAGUGAAGAGGGAAGAGCCCAAGAUUGAAAGCUGGCGUCUUUGGCGUCCGCAUUGUAAUCUCAAGAAGUGUUUUCCGCUUCGGACCAUGCCUAAGUCCCUUGGAAAAGGGCAUCAUAGAGGGUGAUAAUCCCGUACAUGGCAUGGAGCGCCCGAAGCUUUGUGAUACACUUUCUAAGAGUCGAGUUGUUUGGGAAUGCAGCUCAAAAUGGGUGGUAAAUGCCAUCUAAGGCUAAAUAUUGGGGAGAGACCGAUAGCGAACAAGUACAGUGAUGGAAAGAUGAAAAGAACUUUGAAAAGAGAGUUAAACAGUACGUGAAAUUGCCAAAAGGGAAGGGUAGGAGGUCAGAGAUGCGGUCUGGGAUUCAGCCUUGCUUUUGCUGGGUGUUUUUCUCAGAUUGCAGGCCAACGUCGGUUUUGGGCGCUGGAGAAGGGUGGAAGGAAUGUGGCACCUCUCGGGGUGUGUUAUAGCCUUCUACUGGAUACAGUGACCGAGACCGAGGACAGCAGCGUACUCGCAAGAGCGGGCCUUCGGGCACCUUUACGCUUAGGGCGUUGGCAUAAUGGCCCUCUACCACCCGUCUUGAAACACGGACCAAGGAGUCUAACAUGUAUGCGAGUCUUUGGGUGGCAAACCCAUAGGCGCAAUGAAAGUGAAUUCAGGUGGGAUCCGCAAGGUGCACCAUCGACCGAUCCUCACGUCUUUUUAAGUCGUGGAUUUGAGUAAGAGCAUACCUGUUGGGACCCGAAAGAUGGUGAACUAUGCCUGAAUAGGGUGAAGCCAGAGGAAACUCUGGUGGAGGCUCGUAGCGGUUCUGACGUGCAAAUCGAUCGUCAAAU
This 891-nucleotide ribosomal RNA is filed under the name Ustilago hordei. Its description in RNAcentral is "LSU rRNA". It matches the Rfam family "Eukaryotic large subunit ribosomal RNA", at positions 38 to 910 of the family's 3401-position model. Lineage: Eukaryota; Fungi; Basidiomycota; Ustilaginomycetes; Ustilaginales; Ustilaginaceae. The record is from RNAcentral.